AGUCAUUAUUGUGACUAUAUUAUUUUAUAAGGUAUUAAUAGUGUCUAAACCUAGAUAUCCGAUUCGAAAAUUUAGUGCAUUUUUUUCAUAAAAAGGACAUUGUAAUCUGUUUAAUACAAUUUAUAUAUUCUUUUAUAUAUUAUUUUGGAAUAUCAAUUAAUUGAUGUAAGAUCGCCUUAAAAUUGAUGUAAGAUCGAUCAUGUUAAAGAGAAUUUAUUGACUUUAAAUAAGUUUAGAAUUUCUAGAUAAAUAGUUAACAGUAUUAAAAUAUAUAAUGCUCAUAUAAAUUAAUUUAAAAUGACAUAAUUUCUUAUGUUUUAUAUAUAAUACGUACACCAAGGAGUCUAAACACGGCCCAAGGAGUCUAAACGCCAAUUUUAAAAGCCCU
Molecule: ribosomal RNA, 388 nt
Filed under: Phlaeoba infumata
Lineage: Eukaryota; Metazoa; Arthropoda; Insecta; Orthoptera; Acrididae
Description: eukaryotic LSU rRNA
Source: RNAcentral